This 548-nucleotide ribosomal RNA is filed under the name uncultured Glomus. RNAcentral describes it as "SSU rRNA". It matches the Rfam family "Eukaryotic small subunit ribosomal RNA", at positions 548 to 1098 of the family's 1831-position model. Lineage: Eukaryota; Fungi; Glomeromycota; Glomeromycetes; Glomerales; Glomeraceae. The record is from RNAcentral.
UUGGAGGGCAAGUCUGGUGCCAGCAGCCGCGGUAAUUCCAGCUCCAAUAGCGUAUAUUAAAGUUGUUGCAGUUAAAAAGCUCGUAGUUGAAUUUCGAGAUCAAAUUGUUGGUCGUGCCUUGGUACGUACUGACAUUAUUGGUUUCUCCCUUCUGAAGAACCAUGAUGUCAUUAAUUUGGUGUCAUGGGAAAUCAGGACUGUUACUUUGAAAAAAUUAGAGUGUUUAAAGCAGGCUCGCGCUUGAAUACAUUAGCAUGGAAUAAUGAAAUAGGACGUUUAAUUCUAUUUUGUUGGUUCCUAGGAUUGACGUAAUGAUUAAUAGGGAUAGUUGGGGGCAUUAGUAUUCAAUUGUCAGAGGUGAAAUUCUUGGAUUUAUUGAAGACUAACUACUGCGAAAGCAUUUGCCAAGGAUGUUUUCAUUAAUCAAGAACGAAAGUUAGGGGAUCGAAGACGAUCAGAUACCGUCGUAGUCUUAACCAUAAACUAUGCCGACUAGGGAUCGGAUGAUGUUAAUUUUUUAAUGACUCAUUCGGCGCCUUACGGGAAAC